This 253-nucleotide unclassified non-coding RNA is filed under the name uncultured Anaerolineae bacterium. RNAcentral's name for it is "contains 16S-23S intergenic spacer region". It matches the Rfam family "Bacterial small subunit ribosomal RNA", at positions 524 to 776 of the family's 1533-position model. Lineage: Bacteria; Bacillati; Chloroflexota; Anaerolineae. The record is from RNAcentral.
AACGUAGGAGGCAAGCGUUAUCCGGAGUUACUGGGCGUAAAGCGCGUGCAGGCGGAUUGGUAAGUUACUUAUGAAAGCUCCUGGCUAAACCAGGAGAGGUUGAGUGAUACUGCCGGUCUAGAGUGGAUGAGAGGUUGAUGGAAUUCCGCGUGUAGUGGUGAAAUGCGUAGAUAUGCGGAAGAACACCAGUGGCGAAGGCGAUCAACUGGCAUCCAACUGACGCUCAGACGCGAAAGCAUGGGUAGCGAACGGG